Molecule: ribosomal RNA, 465 nt
Filed under: uncultured bacterium
Lineage: Bacteria
Description: partial 16S ribosomal RNA
Rfam family: Bacterial small subunit ribosomal RNA
Source: RNAcentral
GACGAACGCUGGCGGCGUGCUUAACACAUGCAAGUCGAACGGACAGGCCCUGCUUGCGGGGUACUCGCGUGGCCAACGGGUGAGUAACACGUGGGUGGUCUGCCCUGCACUUCGGCAUAAGCCUCGUCAACAGAGUCUAAUACCGGCUAGGAGACAUUUUUAGUGGGAUGGUUGAAAAGUUUUUUCGGUGUAGGAUGAGCUCGCGGCCUAUCAGCUUGUUGGUGGGGUAAUGGCCUACCGAGGCGGCGACGGGUAGCCGGCCUGAGAGGGUGGACGGCCACCCUGGGACUGAGGUACGGCCCAGACUCCGACGGGAGGCAGCAGGGGGGAAGAUUGCACAAGGGGCGCCAGCCUGAUGCAGCGGCGCCUCGUGGGGGAUGACGGCCUUCGUGUUGAAAACUCAUUUCGCUAGUGACGAUGCUUUUUGUGACGGUACCUAGAUAAGAAGCCCCGGCUAACUACGUG